Molecule: ribosomal RNA, 513 nt
Filed under: uncultured bacterium
Lineage: Bacteria
Description: partial 16S ribosomal RNA
Rfam family: Bacterial small subunit ribosomal RNA
Source: RNAcentral
GACGAACGCUGGCGGCGUGCUUAACACAUGCAAGUCGAACGAGAGCGUAGAGAAAGCUUGCUUUUUCUACAAUCUAGUGGCAAACGGGUGAGUAACGCGUAAACAACCUGCCCUACGGAUGGGGACAACAGCUGGAAACGGCUGCUAAUACCGAAUACGUUCCGAAAGUCGCAUGACUAUCGGAAGAAAGGAUGGCCUCUAUUUAUAAGCUAUCGCCGGAGGAGGGGUUUGCGUCUGAUUAGCUAGUUGGAGGGGGAACGGCCCACCAAGGCGACGAUCAGUAGCCGGUCUGAGAGGAUGAACGGCCACAUUGGAACUGAGACACGGUCCAGACUCCUACGGGAGGCAGCCGUGGGGAAUCUUCCGCAAUGGGCGAAAGCCUGACGGAGCAACGCCGCGUGAGUGAAGACGGCCUUCGGGUUGUAAAGCUCUGUUAUACGGGACGAAUAAUCUUGUGGUUAAUACCCAUGAGAAGUGACGGUACCGUAAGAGAAAGCCACGGCUAACUACGUG